This 336-nucleotide unclassified non-coding RNA is filed under the name soil metagenome. Its description in RNAcentral is "partial contains 5.8S ribosomal RNA, internal transcribed spacer 2, and large subunit ribosomal RNA". The stretch from base 1 to 120 matches the Rfam family "5.8S ribosomal RNA", at positions 35 to 154 of the family's 154-position model. The record is from RNAcentral.
GAUGAAGAACGCAGCGAAAUGCGAUAAGUAAUGUGAAUUGCAGAAUUCAGUGAAUCAUCGAAUCUUUGAACGCACAUUGCGCCCGCCAGUAUUCUGGCGGGCAUGCCUGUUCGAGCGUCAUUUCAACCAUCAAGCCCCAGGCUUGUGUUGGGGACCUGCGGCUGCCGCAGGCCCUGAAAACCAGUGGCGGGCUCGUUGUCACACCGGGCGUAGUAGAUUUUAUCUCGCUCAGGGCGUGCUGCGGGUCCCGGCCGUUAAAAGCCUUUUUUUACCCAAGGUUGACCUCGGAUCAGGUAGGAAGACCCGCUGAACUUAAGCAUAUCAAUAAGCGGAGGA